Molecule: long non-coding RNA, 630 nt
Organism: Lolium rigidum
Lineage: Eukaryota; Viridiplantae; Streptophyta; Magnoliopsida; Poales; Poaceae
Exons: 3
Source: RefSeq, a predicted model, not a curated record
CCCAGCACACCGAAGAGCUAGAGUAUCAAUCGAUGCAGGCGACAACACUACAAUGCUCUUUAUGGCCUGCACCGCCGAUUCGUCACCACCAGCAUGUCCUUCUGCCUUUGCUCGUGUCUUCCGCGCACAUAACCUAGCCCAUGAGUCUGGUCCGCUAGCCGUUGCUUGGAGAAAGGGGUCACAUAUCGGUGGAGACACAAGGCACUUGCCUCACCAUCGCCACUCGGUUGAAGGUGGAUGCAUACCCAUUAGUGGAAUUGAUGCUCCAAAAUUGGAGCUGGAUGCGCCACCGUGCUAUUCUUGAGGACGGUAACCGCAACCCUGUCCGUCAUGUGGUUGCUCGACAAAGGCGACCACUGAUCUCUCCAGGCACUAUGCAUGGCAACAGGCAGAUGCUCUGUUGGGUGAAUUACCGGAGCACUGGUGGGGCGGUGGCUGCAGGAGAAGCCCAACCAAAGAGGAAGAAAAGCAGCCCCACCGGUAGGUACCGCUAGAGAAGGAAAAAACCCGCCGGGCACGAGGAGGGCAUGAGAGAAGCUCCACCUGGAAGUGAGUUGCAGGGGAUAGAGGCAGCCCCGUACAGUUGAAGGGGAUAGAGGCAGCCCCGUGAAGGUGGGGACAGAGGCGGCG